Molecule: ribosomal RNA, 252 nt
Filed under: uncultured bacterium
Lineage: Bacteria
Description: partial 16S ribosomal RNA
Rfam family: Bacterial small subunit ribosomal RNA
Source: RNAcentral
UACAGAGGUCCCAAGCGUUGUUCGGAUUCACUGGGCGUAAAGGGUGCGUAGGUGGUGAGGUAAGUCGGAUGUGAAAUCUCCGGGCUCAACCCGGAAAUGGCAUUGGAUACUAUUCGGCUAGAGGUUUGGAGGGGGACUGGAAUUCUCGGUGUAGCAGUGAAAUGCGUAGAUAUCGAGAGGAACACCAGUGGCGAAGGCGAGUCCCUGGACAACACCUGACACUGAGGCACGAAAGCUAGGGGAGCAAACAGG